Molecule: ribosomal RNA, 460 nt
Filed under: uncultured bacterium
Lineage: Bacteria
Description: partial 16S ribosomal RNA
Rfam family: Bacterial small subunit ribosomal RNA
Source: RNAcentral
CCUACGGGAGGCAGCAGUGGGGAAUAUUGGUCAAUGGGCGCUAGCCUGAACCAGCCAAGUAGCGUGAAGGAUGACUGCCCUCUGGGUUGUAAACUUCUUUUAUAUGGGAAUAAAGUGCAGUAUGUAUACUGCUUUGCAUGUACCUUAUGAAUAAGGAUCGGCUAACUCCGUGCCAGCAGCCGCGGUAAUACGGAGGAUCCGAGCGUUAUCCGGAUUUAUUGGGUUUAAAGGGAGCGUAGGCGGGUUGUUAAGUCAGGUGUGAAAGUUGGGGGCUCAACCGUAAAAUUGCAGUUGAUACUGGGAACCUUGAGUACAGUAGAGGUAGGCGGAAUUCGUGGUGUAGCGGUGAAAUGCUUAGAUAUCAGGAGGAACUCCGAUUGCGAAGGCAGCCUGCUGGACUGUAACUGACGCUGAUGCUCGAAAGUGUGGGUAGCAAACAGGAUUAGAUACCCCUGUAGUC